Molecule: transfer RNA, 75 nt
Filed under: Adhaeretor mobilis
Lineage: Bacteria; Pseudomonadati; Planctomycetota; Planctomycetia; Pirellulales; Lacipirellulaceae
Description: Planctomycetes bacterium HG15A2 tRNA-Pro
Rfam family: tRNA
About the family: Transfer RNA (tRNA) molecules are approximately 80 nucleotides in length. Their secondary structure includes four short double-helical elements and three loops (D, anti-codon, and T loops).
Source: RNAcentral
CGGGCCGUGGCGCAGUCUGGUAGCGCGUUUGACUGGGGGUCAAAAGGUCGCAGGUUCAAAUCCUGUCGGCCCGAC